AGGUGGGUAAGUUAAAUUAAACUAUGGGGUUCAUGUCCCCACAAUAUGGUUACAUCUCACUAA
This 63-nucleotide transfer RNA is filed under the name Rhinebothroides sp. MZUSP 8020. RNAcentral describes it as "tRNA-Met". Lineage: Eukaryota; Metazoa; Platyhelminthes; Cestoda; Rhinebothriidea; Rhinebothriidae. The record is from RNAcentral.